CCUACGGGGCGCUGCAGUGGGGAAUAUUGCGCAAUGGGCGAAAGCCUGACGCAGCGACGCCGCGUGAGGGAUGAAGGUCUUCUGAUCGUAAACCUCUGUCAGCAGGGAAGAACGGUCACUGUGCUAAUCAGCAGUGAAUUGACGGUACCUGCAAAGGAAGCACCGGCUAACUCCGUGCCAGCAGCCGCGGUAAGACGGAGGGUGCUGGCGUUAAUCGGAAUUACUUGGCGUAAAGCGCUCGUAGGCGGUAUGUCAAGUCAAGGGUGAAAUCCCCGGGCUCAACGUGGGAACUGCCUUUGAAACUGGCAAACUGGAGUGUGUGAGAGGAUAGUGGAAUUCCAGGUGUAGGGGUGAAAUCCGUAGAGAUCUGGAGGAACAUCAGUGGCGAAGGCGACUAUCUGGCACAUAACUGACGCUGAGGAGCGAAAGCGUGGGUAGCAAACAGGAUUAGAUACCCCUGUAGUC
Molecule: ribosomal RNA, 465 nt
Filed under: uncultured bacterium
Lineage: Bacteria
Description: partial 16S ribosomal RNA
Rfam family: Bacterial small subunit ribosomal RNA
Source: RNAcentral